This 253-nucleotide ribosomal RNA is filed under the name uncultured bacterium. RNAcentral describes it as "partial 16S ribosomal RNA". It matches the Rfam family "Bacterial small subunit ribosomal RNA", at positions 524 to 776 of the family's 1533-position model. The record is from RNAcentral.
UACAGAGGGUGCAAGCGUUAAUCGGAAUUACUGGGCGUAAAGCGUGCGUAGGCGGAUGCUUAAGUCAGAUGUGAAAGCCCUGGGCUUAACCUAGGAAUUGCAUCUGAUACUGGGCGUCUAGAGUAUGGUAGAGGAUAGUGGAAUUUCAGGUGUAGCGGUGAAAUGCGUAGAUAUCUGAAGGAACACCAGUGGCGAAGGCGACUGUCUGGGCCAAUACUGACGCUGAGGUACGAAAGCAUGGGUAGCGAACAGG